GUAAGAGGUUCGCAGUAUAUGGCACAGCAGCAAUUGUAAAAUUUUGCAAUCCGCUCCCACCCAUUAUAUGGGCAAAGCCACCAUGAGGCACUCUGGAACUGCCAGUAACAAACUGUAAUAGUAGUACUCUCUCUUCCUGAGUUAAUUCUUCCACAACAUCCCAGAACCACUGGAUUACUUGGUCUCCUCUCUCAUAGCCACUGGUAUAUUCUGUAUUUUUUAACCAAUCAUUCACAUCAAUUUCCGGCAUACCAGACAACAAAAGCUCCAGUUCAUAUUCAUCAAAAAGUUGAAUCAAAGAUGGUGGAAUGAACAUAUGGAAGCCUUGUAAAAAGGCAUUUAUCUGAGGUUGAAUGGCUCUUGUCAUUCUGAGUUCAGUGACAAGCUGGACAUACUCAGCCUUGUUUUCCUGUGUAACAAGUAUACUCGCAC
Molecule: long non-coding RNA, 432 nt
Filed under: Gallus gallus (chicken)
Lineage: Eukaryota; Metazoa; Chordata; Aves; Galliformes; Phasianidae
Source: RNAcentral